UAUGGCCAAAGCCCUGUGAAAGCACUAGUUCUCAUUCAAUUACCAAAGUUAAACAGUGUCAAGGCUGGUCAGUACUUUGAUGGGAUACCUCUUGAGAACACUGGGUAUUGUA
This is a non-coding RNA of Acanthosepion pharaonis, 112 nucleotides long. The record is from the annotation of a GenBank genome assembly. Lineage: Eukaryota; Metazoa; Mollusca; Cephalopoda; Sepiida; Sepiidae.